UCCCUGGUGGUCCGAAGGCUAAGACUCUGCACUCCCAAUGCAAGGGUCCCAGGUUCAAUCCCUGGUUGGAGAA
This 73-nucleotide transfer RNA is filed under the name Bos taurus (domestic cattle). It matches the Rfam family "tRNA". From Rfam's summary of the family: Transfer RNA (tRNA) molecules are approximately 80 nucleotides in length. RNAcentral also lists the same sequence under 3 other names. Lineage: Eukaryota; Metazoa; Chordata; Mammalia; Artiodactyla; Bovidae. The record is from Rfam by way of RNAcentral.